Molecule: ribosomal RNA, 855 nt
Filed under: uncultured bacterium
Lineage: Bacteria
Description: bacterial SSU rRNA
Rfam family: Bacterial small subunit ribosomal RNA
Source: RNAcentral
AGUCGAGCGAGUCUGCCUUGAAGAUCGGAGUGCUUGCACUCUGUGAAACAAGAUACAGGCUAGCGGCGGACGGGUGAGUAACACGUGGGUAACCUGCCCAAGAGAUCGGGAUAACACCUGGAAACAGAUGCUAAUACCGGAUAACAACAGAUGAUGCCUAUCAACUGUUUAAAAGAUGGUUCUGCUAUCACUCUUGGAUGGACCUGCGGUGCAUUAGCUAGUUGGUAGGGUAACGGCCUACCAAGGCGAUGAUGCAUAGCCGAGUUGAGAGACUGAUCGGCCACAUUGGGACCGAGACACGGCCCAAACUCCUACGGGAGGCAGCAGUAGGGAAUCUUCCACAAUGGACGCAAGUCUGAUGGAGCAACGCCGCGUGAGUGAAGAAGGGUUUCGGCUCGUAAAGCUCCGUUGUUGGUGAAGAAGGACAGGGGUAGUAACUGACCUUUGUUUGACGGUAAUCAAUUAGAAAGUCACGGCUAACUACGUGCCAGCAGCCGCGGUAAUACGUAGGUGGCAAGCGUUGUCCGGAUUUAUUGGGCGUAAAGCGAGUGCAGGCGGCUCGAUAAGUCUGAUGUGAAAGCCUUCGGCUCAACCGGAGAAUUGCAUCAGAAACUGUCGAGCUUGAGUACAGAAGAGGAGAGUGGAACUCCAUGUGUAGCGGUGAAAUGCGUAGAUAUAUGGAAGAACACCGGUGGCGAAGGCGGCUCUCUGGUCUGUUACUGACGCUGAGGCUCGAAAGCAUGGGUAGCGAACAGGAUUAGAUACCCUGGUAGUCCAUGCCGUANACGAUGAGUGCUAAGUGUUGGGAGGUUUCCGCCUCUCAGUGCUGCAGCUAACGCAUUAAGCACUCCGCCU